UACGAAGGGUGCAAGCGUUACUCGGAAUUACUGGGCGUAAAGCGUGCGUAGGUGGUGAGUUAAGUCUGAUGUGAAAUCCCCGGGCUCAACCUGGGAAUGGCAUUGGAUACUGGCUCGCUGGGGUGCGGUAGAGGGUGGUGGAAUUCCCGGUGUAGCAGUGAAAUGCGUAGAGAUCGGGAGGAACAUCUGUGGCGAAGGCGGCCACCUGGACCAGCACUGACACUGAGGCACGAAAGCGUGGGGAGCAAACAGG
Molecule: ribosomal RNA, 253 nt
Filed under: uncultured bacterium
Lineage: Bacteria
Description: partial 16S ribosomal RNA
Rfam family: Bacterial small subunit ribosomal RNA
Source: RNAcentral